Molecule: long non-coding RNA, 1012 nt
Filed under: Equus caballus (horse)
Lineage: Eukaryota; Metazoa; Chordata; Mammalia; Perissodactyla; Equidae
Description: lncRNA (ENSECAG00000053315.1)
Source: RNAcentral
AAGAGGCAAGACACACGUCAAAUGCAGUGGGGCACAGCCAGAGGUGAAAGCCUUUCAGCUGCAUUCAGCAACAGCAUCGUCCUGAACUGGAUGCUGGAGCUGGCCUGGGUGCUUGGGCCAUGACUCAGACCUGGACUCCAGCACCUCUGCUCUCCUCGUCCAUUGUCACUGUGAAGUGGGGCUGAUGUAAAAAGAGUUGAUUUCUACCCUACCAAGUCACAGAACGGUUGGACUGGAAAGGAGUCGGGGGUCAUGUGGUUCAACCCCUCAUUUUACAGGAAAUGAAUGAAAGGCUGCGAGGGAAGGUGCUAAGGAAGUGGGAGAGGAACUAUCAUUCAUGGACGCCUGCUUGAUAGUGGGCACUUUGCUACCUAAUAAAUUCACAGAAGAAUCCGGAAAGUUCCAAGGAUUAGGACAUAGAUAUCUUCAGGGGGCCAUUAUUCUGCAUAGCCCAGAGCACGCUGACAUCUAGGAAAGAGUCUUCCAGGCAGAGGAACAGCUAGAGCAGAGGCCCAGAGGUGGACGAGCCUGGAGCUGGGAGAAAGCUAACCCUUGCCAAGGACACACUUGACCUUGUCUUCAAAGGUAGCCCUUAAAGGAGCAGUAUAUUUUCUCCAUCCAACAAAAGUGAGAUGAACAAUUCUGCAGUUUUCUUCACAGGCUCAUAAAGCAGAAGCGCUUCUCUGAUAAUCUCUGCUAGAGUAUCCUUUGAGCUUCUUUUGUCCGGGAGCCUGGCUGAAUUUCUCCCAGUAUGUCAGAAUUUGCUUCCCAGGGGCCCGCUUCGUGGAUGAUGGAGUGGAAGGUAAUUCCCGAGGGCUCAGAGGUCUGCGUGCUAUGGGGUAGAGCCUCAGAUCAACUUGUAAACCCUAAAGAAAUUUUCCCACCUAGUGUUCUACAACAGUCCCCUCCACCUUUCAAAACCCUAGGCACACACACAAAUGUGUUCUCAGCCAGCCAAAGUCGCCCUCUCUAGUGAUGACAACGCCAGAAAAAUAGCUCUUCUAUCAUAUUG